GGUCAGUGUCAUAAUACUGUUUGCUUUUACUGCAAUAAAAUACACAUAUUUGUAUUCAGCAAAGUCUCACGUGUAAAACAGUACCCCCUAUGUACAGGUUUUAUGGCGCUUUGGGAAGUUACAGGGUCAAAUAUAGCACGUUACAUUUGAAAUUGAAAUUCGCCAGAUUGGUUACGUUGCCUUUGAGACUGUAUAGUAGCCCGGGAAUGAAAUUUACACCCAUAACGGCAUACCAUUUGCAAUAGUAGACAACCCAAGG
Molecule: non-coding RNA, 259 nt
Organism: Pelobates cultripes (western spadefoot toad)
Lineage: Eukaryota; Metazoa; Chordata; Amphibia; Anura; Pelobatidae
Source: the annotation of a GenBank genome assembly